Molecule: RNA transcript, 986 nt
Organism: Daphnia magna
Lineage: Eukaryota; Metazoa; Arthropoda; Branchiopoda; Diplostraca; Daphniidae
Exons: 2
Source: RefSeq, a predicted model, not a curated record
AAUUGUGGCGGUUUCCAUUUCGAUUACAGUUUCGUCAGACACGUCGAAAGAAACUUAGUAAUAUUUCACUUCCACGUUGGGGCGCUUUUUGUCGUGAGAUAGGAUUUCUCCUAGCUGCGGAAUACCAGGUUCUAUUGUGACCAGGGUAAUUAUCGGAAGGGAUACUUGGUCUUUCGUUGUUGCUUCUUUUUAAUGUUAGGCUACAUUACAGCUCUACCCUAACUACUAACAAGUAUAUUCCUCGCUGAUUUAGUAAACAAUGUGUGCACAAUAGUUUUCUAAAUGUUGAUCCGUUUUGCAAUUUGUUUGACUGACCUACAAUACUUUUAAGUUGAUCUCAUUUCCCCCAUCGGCUAAGAUUGCGCAAUCAAGUCAAGUAAACCAACACAAAAAAUGUGGUGAAAGGGAAAAGAAAAAUUUUUCUGACACAUGCCGCAGAUGAUGGAAGACAAGGAAACGUAUAUGCCAGGACAAUGACCCAAAUGCGGAAGAGACGGAGAGGAGGAGUCAUGCGUUUAAAUAAAAACUUUGGUAUAUAUAAGACAGAGUUAUUAGUUGUGUUCUGACUGUUCUACGACAUCGUUUACCUGACAAACAUGAAGAUUUUCAUCAUCACUGCUGCCAUCAUAAGUAGUUUCGGGGCAACCACCCUAUCAUGAACCUACAGAUUACGUUCCUUACCAACUGUUAAACGAAUACGAUAGACCACAGUAUCCAGCACCAUCUUACAAGCCUGAAUACCUAGCUCCAGCUUACACAGCGAAUUACGAAGCUCCAGCAUACAAACCUUCGUACCCUGUGCAAACCCAUAAACCCUACCGAGAAGUACCGGUUUAUAAACCUGUUUCUUCGGCACCGAAGUACCCUUCCUUUGCGUCACCAUAUUCAGUCAAAUACUAAUAAAUGUUUUAAUAUAUAAAACCCAUUCAUACUGUAGAUUCCCUUUAUCAAUUAAAAUAAAUGAAAAAACGCUGUAAAACUCAAAA